GGCAUAGGGUUUUUUUCUUUAUUUUAAAUACUCAUUAAUGCCCUUAACAAAAAUCCUAAUCCAAUUAUAGCCUUUUUUUUUUUUAUUCCCACCCCUUUUACUUUCUCUCUCUCAUCGGUGCUCUGGAAAUCGGUUGGGUGAAAGAAGCCGCAAAAGAUAGAACAAAUUCGGAAUAUCGAAGUUUGAAUCCUUCUUGACAAAUUC
Molecule: long non-coding RNA, 204 nt
Filed under: Amborella trichopoda
Lineage: Eukaryota; Viridiplantae; Streptophyta; Magnoliopsida; Amborellales; Amborellaceae
Description: long non-coding RNA (ATRI_LNC002234)
Source: RNAcentral